Molecule: ribosomal RNA, 432 nt
Filed under: uncultured bacterium
Lineage: Bacteria
Description: partial 16S ribosomal RNA
Rfam family: Bacterial small subunit ribosomal RNA
Source: RNAcentral
ACGAACGCUGGCGGCAUGCCUAACACAUGCCAGUCGCACGAGACCUUCGGGUCUAGUGGCGCACGGGUGCGUAACGCGUGGGAACCUGCCCUUAGGUUCGGAAUAACUCCCCGAAAGGGGUGCUAAUACCGGAUAAUGUCUUCGGACCAAAGAUUUAUCGCCUUUGGAUGGGCCCGCGUUGGAUUAGCUAGUUGGUAGGGUAAAAGCCUACCAAGGCGACGAUCCAUAGCUGGUCUGAGAGGAUGAUCAGCCACACUGGGACUGAGACACGGCCCAGACUCCUACGGGAGGCAGCAGUGGGGAAUAUUGGACAAUGGGCGAAAGCCUGAUCCAGCAAUGCCGCGUGAGUGAUGAAGGCCUUAGGGUUGUAAAGCUCUUUUACCCGGGAUGAUAAUGACAGUACCGGGAGAAUAAGCUCCGGCUAACUCCGUG